AAACUUUCAACAACGGAUCUCUUGGGUCUGGGAACAAUAAAAAAAACACCGAAACGCGAAAGGGAAUGCGAAUUGCAGAAUCAGUGAGUCAUUGAAUCUUUGAACGCACAUUGCGCCUCUCGGUAUUCCGGGAGGCACGCCUGUUCGAGGGCCAUUA
This 157-nucleotide ribosomal RNA is filed under the name Scolecobasidium verrucosum. Its description in RNAcentral is "Ochroconis verrucosa 5.8S ribosomal RNA". It matches the Rfam family "5.8S ribosomal RNA". From Rfam's summary of the family: 5.8S ribosomal RNA (5.8S rRNA) is a component of the large subunit of the eukaryotic ribosome. It is transcribed by RNA polymerase I as part of the 45S precursor that also contains 18S and 28S rRNA. The record is from RNAcentral. Lineage: Eukaryota; Fungi; Ascomycota; Dothideomycetes; Venturiales; Sympoventuriaceae.